AUGAACGCUGGCGGCAUGCCUAACACAUGCAAGUCGAACGAAGGCUUCGGCCUUAGUGGCGCACGGGUGCGUAACGCGUGGGAAUCUGCCCUCAGGUUCGGAAUAACAGCGAGAAAUUGCUGCUAAUACCGGAUGAUAUCGCGAGAUCAAAGAUUUAUCGCCUGAGGAUGAGCCCGCGUAGGAUUAGCUAGUUGGUGUGGUAAAGGCGCACCAAGGCGACGAUCCUUAGCUGGUCUGAGAGGAUGAUCAGCCACACUGGGACUGAGACACGGCCCAGACUCCUACGGGAGGCAGCAGUGGGGAAUAUUGGACAAUGGGCGAAAGCCUGAUCCAGCAAUGCCGCGUGAGUGAUGAAGGCCUUAGGGUUGUAAAGCUCUUUUACCCGGGAUGAUAAUGACAGUACCGGGAGAAUAAGCUCCGGCUAACUCCGUGCCAGCAGCCGCGGUAAUACGGAGGGAGCUAGCGUUAUUCGGAAUUACUGGGCGUAAAGCGCACGUAGGCGGCUUUGUAAGUUAGAGGUGAAAGCCUGGAGCUCAACUCCAGAAUUGCCUUUAAGACUGCAUCGCUUGAUCCAGGAGAGGUGAGUGGGUUCGGAGUGUAGAAGGUGAAAUUCGUAGAUAUUCGGGAAGAAACACCAGUGGCGGAGGCGGCUCACUGGACUUGUAUUGACGCU
RNAcentral lists this ribosomal RNA (673 nucleotides) under uncultured Sphingomonas sp. Its description in RNAcentral is "bacterial SSU rRNA". It matches the Rfam family "Bacterial small subunit ribosomal RNA", at positions 29 to 747 of the family's 1533-position model. The record is from RNAcentral. Lineage: Bacteria; Pseudomonadati; Pseudomonadota; Alphaproteobacteria; Sphingomonadales; Sphingomonadaceae.